This 418-nucleotide ribosomal RNA is filed under the name Glomus sp. RNAcentral's name for it is "SSU rRNA". It matches the Rfam family "Eukaryotic small subunit ribosomal RNA", at positions 548 to 968 of the family's 1831-position model. The record is from RNAcentral. Lineage: Eukaryota; Fungi; Glomeromycota; Glomeromycetes; Glomerales; Glomeraceae.
UUGGAGGGCAAGUCUGGUGCCAGCAGCCGCGGUAAUUCCAGCUCCAAUAGCGUAUAUUAAAGUUGUUGCAGUUAAAAAGCUCGUAGUUGAAUUUCGGAAUCAAUUUGUUGGUCGUGCCUCGGUACGUACUGGUAUUAUUGGUUUCUACCUUCUGAAGAACCUUGAUGUCAUUAAUUUGGUGUCUUGGGGAAUCAGGACUGUUACUUUGAAAAAAUUGAGUGUUUAAAGCAAGGCAUACGACUUUGAAUACAUUAGCAUCGGAAUAAUGAAAUAGGACGUUUGAUUCCUAUUUUGUGGUUUCUAGGAUCGACGUAAUGAUUAAUAGGGAUAGUUGGGGGCAUUAGUAUUCAAUUGUCAGAGGUGAAAUUCUUGGAUUUAUUGAAGCUAACUACUGCGAAAGCAUUUGCCUAAGGAUGUU